Molecule: ribosomal RNA, 410 nt
Filed under: uncultured bacterium
Lineage: Bacteria
Description: bacterial SSU rRNA
Rfam family: Bacterial small subunit ribosomal RNA
Source: RNAcentral
UAGACUUAAUGGGGGCAACCCUGAUGGAGCAACGCCGCGUGAAGGAUGAAGGCCCUCGGGUCGUAAACUUCUUUUAUGAGUGAAGAAUAUGACGGUAACUCAUGAAUAAGCACCGGCUAACUACGUGCCAGCAGCCGCGGUCAUACGUAGGGUGCAAGCAUUAUCCGGAGUGACUGGGCGUAAAGAGUUGCGUAGGCGGUUAGUAAAGUGAAUAGUGAAACCUGGUGGCUCAACCAUACAGACUAUUAUUCAAACUCACUAACUCGAGAAUGGUAGAGGUAACUGGAAUUUCUUGUGUAGGAGUGAAAUCCGUAGAUAUAAGAAGGAACACCAAUGGCGUAGGCAGGUUACUGGACCAUUUCUGACGCUAAGGCACGAAAGCGUGGGGAGCGAACAGGAUUAGAUACCCU